UUGCUUCAGGAGCAAAUACAGUAAAAUUGGAACAAUAUAGAGAAGCUUAGCACGGCCAAUGAACAAGGAUGACAUGCAAAUUCAUGAAGUGUUCCAUAUUUUU
Molecule: small nuclear RNA, 103 nt
Organism: Perognathus longimembris pacificus (Pacific pocket mouse)
Lineage: Eukaryota; Metazoa; Chordata; Mammalia; Rodentia; Heteromyidae
Source: RefSeq, a predicted model, not a curated record